Chroicocephalus ridibundus (black-headed gull) is the source of this 3796-nucleotide RNA transcript. It is a transcript of the gene named dynein heavy chain-like protein 1, with no coding region annotated. Lineage: Eukaryota; Metazoa; Chordata; Aves; Charadriiformes; Laridae. The record is from RefSeq and is a predicted model, not a curated record. The transcript has 8 exons.
UUUCACUCAAAGGGGCAGGUUUGAGGUUGUAGCCGUGCUGCCAUGAACAUGGAUAGCUUUUGGUCAGCUUGGACAGUGGGUUAAUCGUGCUCGCUUCUGUCUGCAGUGAAAUUAGCUAUUUUGAAGAAUCACAAGCCAGGAAAUUCAACAGCGGGAAGGAGAGAGAGAGGGCAUUGCGGAGUCGUUGCAGAAGGACUGAUAUCUGCUGCUUGCUGAGGUUGUUUUUCAGCUGGAUCCGAUUUCUCCAGCCUACCUGACCGCACGGACACAAAAGCAACAGCAGGGACACAGUGAUUCAUGGCCAGGACCAAACCAUUGGAAAAGACGGCUGGAUGGGGCAGUGACUGGCUGGAGCAGAUCUGCCAUCAAAUGCCAGACCACAGCUUCGGACCAGGCAGUAUCUUGGAAAUGUUCUGUCUUUUGAUUUAACAUGCAAAAACCUGCAAGGUAGAAAUUAUGCCAAUUCACACACUGGAUUUCUGGAAAGGAGUCCCUGUUGUAAAGAGCUUUGCUCAUGGAGUCAAAGGAGCAGAUACACAUAGCUUUGGCUCUCCAUUACCUUUUUCCAGCAAAGAAUCAAUAUGGGUGCUGCGGAUUUUCAAAGAAAAAUGAUAACCCCGUGGCAACUGGCUGCUUGUAAAAAUAUUUUAUGGUGGUUCCUGCCUUGCUUGACUACAAUGAAUGAGUUGGUUCUUGCCUUGCUUGACUAUUAUGAGUAAGGAAGAGAUCUAUCCGCCAUAACCUAUUAAUUGGGAAAUUGCCCAGAGCUGCUGGCAGGCUCCCAGUCUGGUCCCCUCAUCCCAUCCCCUCGUCCCAGAGCUGCGUUACGGCCUUAGAGCUGUGAGGAAAACCUGAGAUCUCCUUAUUCCCAGGCCACGCCAGAAAUCACAAACUGGGAUUGUUUAAAACAAAAUCUAAAUAUUAAAUGAAAGCAAACCAUAAAAAUGGCUCUUUCCCACUUUGUACAGAAGACUGCAGAGGACUUUAAAGGGGUCAUUCACAGAUGGCAUGAUCACCACGUGGCAAAAUAAACCAAAAUAUCAGAGGUCCCUAUCCCUAUCUUGUUUGGGAAAACAAGAAAAAAGGAAGGGGCAGUAAACCAACGGAAAAUCUUGUUGACAUAAUACAAGGCAAGCUGUCCAGAAAACUAAGUGUUACUCCCGAGACACUAAUCACUAAAGAUGUUCAUGGACAUUUCAUAUACUCCUAUCCAAGGAAUCUCUAUAUUUUUCAAACAAUCUCUGUUGAGACAUGUCACAACUAUCAAUAGAAUACAGGACUUAAAAUGAGUCCAUGAGGCUGGACUCCACAGAUGAGAAGCUGCUGGGCAGAGAAGUCCAUGGCCCCAAGACAACCCAUAAAGCAUUCCUCUUGCACUGGAAUAGGUGGGAGCUGGAACAAACACUGUCCUCACACCAUCCCCGAGGGAGCAUGCUUACGUGCAUCACCCACGCAGUGUAAUUUCCUCCUCCUCAUUAGCUUCCCACGUUAUGAGACGACAGAAGUGUCCAUGCGGACAGGCACGUGGAGGUGUUGAUAUCUCCAUGCCAGAGAUUCAAAACUCAAGUUGAGAAGGCUUUGAGCAACCUUCCUUCUCUGGACCCCUUUGAGAGGGAGCCUGGACCAGACGACUUCUGGAGAUCCCUUCCAGCUGCUUUGUCCUCCCGGGGACGGAAGUGCAGCACGUAGGAAGCCAGGAGGAAAUAACUUCUCUGCAGCUGCAUUGGAUGUCCUUCUGUGUUACCCAUUCACCAAAUCAAAAGUGGUGGUUACUUGCGGAAGAGCUUGUGAGCAGCUGUCUCUCUUUUCUUUUGGCAGUGCAUUGUGUUGAACUGUUCUGAUGGACGAGACUACAAAGCCAUGGGGAAAUUCUUCAAAGGUCUGGCACGAUCUGGAGCCUUGGUGUGCUUUGAUGAAUUUAAUCGUAUAGAGCUGGAGGUAAUUGUAGUACCAGUUUCUUAGCAAAGUUGGUAUUCAACGAAAGUGACAAGCUUGACAACUUCAUUAACAGUACGGACAUUAAACAACAUUGACUGAAGCUUACUGUUACAUAAAAAAAAAUAUACAAUUUUAGUACAUUUUAAUCAAACUCAACCGGUUGUCUAUGCCAAAUCUGUCCCUGUGAUUUUUGAAUGGUUGCUGCAUUCUCUACUGUAAAUGUAGCCAGAGAAAUAUUGCUGUUGCAACCUUCUGAGCACAGUGACAGAGGGAGGUUUGUGGGGAGACGUUGUAUUUUGUUCAUGAUAGAUUAGUGGCGAGAUUUCUCUUCCGCACUGGUAUGCAACCUGCCACUCACUGUGUUUUGAAAGACAGGAGUUAACUUUCAUCUACAGAAAGCUCACAGCCAGGGACAGAGACUGCUUUAAUACCGCAUUUAUUACCUUGUUGGGGAGGGGGGGGAAACAAAAAACAAAAAGCAACCCUGCAAAGAGGGAUCUGCAACAAAUGAGAGCUUCGGGUUUGGGUUUUUUUUUCUGUUAUUCAGAAUAAGAUUUAAGAAGGUAAUUUAUUAUGCUUGCACAAAGCAUAAUUAAGUGUCCGUAUAGGGAAGUACUGCAUAACCUAUUUUCUUGUAUAAACUGAGGUGAUCUGGUUGAUCUUUUGUAGCUCCUACAUUUUUCUGAUUUUUUUUUUCUUUCUUUUUAAAUCACAGCUACUGGCAGCCCUUGGUAGAAGGUAUUGACAUUGAAUUAGGUUAUAACCAUUCAUUUAAAUUUCUGCUUCUGAGGUAGCCCAGAAACAGGCUUUAAAAAUACAAUAUGCUUGCUCUAUUUUCCAUUAUCUUGUAUUAGAUCAUUAGAGAUACAUAGCUAUUUCUGGAAGAUGCUAUGUCUUUAGCACUUUCAUUCAUUUAGCAGGUUAUCAUUUGAUGCAUAGGGAAUUUUCCAAUGCAUUCGGCAAUUUAUUAGCUUAAGGGUGUGAUGGAUUUUGUGUUUUCUUUACAUUUAGUAGCACAUUAAACCAUCGGUUUAAAGUUUAAAAACAAAUGUACCAGUGUUUUCAAACCAAAAGUGUGUCGAAGACCGUGCUUUGCACUUCCCUUCGAUGCUUUUUGUAGUUGCUCAGGAAAUGUUGACCCUUCGGACAUGGGGUCUGAGCAGGUGCAGGUGCAGGAAGAUACGUCUGGGCUCACCCGCCGCUACGUUCAUUAUCUGCAAUUUGGGUGGGCUGGCAGAGUGGGGCUGUCAAACAAUCCAAAAGGAACAAUAGUAUAACGACUUUGCUAGGGUGGACAGAAUUAUAGGAUCAUUUCUUCCUUAUGACUGUUUGCUCCUCUGCUAGACAGAAAGAUUUUCUCACUAGAUUGCAGUACCAUGAAGUGCAACUGUACCUGCAUUGGUUCUUUUUCUAAAAAAAAAAGGGCAGCGUGCACUCCUUUUUGUAUUAGAGUGCAGCAUACACCAAGUAAAUGCCUGAGUGAAAUCUCUUUUGUCUUUUACGCUUUUUUCCUUUGCCCACUGACAGGAGAUCCCUCAAGACCAGCACUAAGCUCCUCUUCAUUAGAACCCAGUUUUCAAUUUAAAUUUUAAUUAGAAUGGAUGACUAGGAUACUUACCAUUCGCUGUAAUUUCUGCAUGCCGCUAAUCAACAACCAGAAGAAUACUUCUUGUUUUUAUUUCUAAAAAAUAAGUUCCUUUUCUGUAAAAGGUUUGUUGCUGGCAAUUAAAAUUAUUUUAGCUCAUCCCAUACAGUUUCAUUUUUCAAUGGAAUUCAUGCUUGCAAAGGGAUAUUCUUUUUUCAUUUCUUUUAAUGUAAGGUCACCAGAACCUGGAUUCUUACAUUAAUUUAGGGCUAG